UGAGUGGCGGACGGGUGAGUAACGCGUGAGCAAUCUGCCCAUAUCUGGGGAAUAACAGUUGGAAACGACUGCUAAUACCGCAUAAGACCACGGGAGGGCAUCCUUCUGGGGUAAAAGAUUUUAUCGGAUAUGGAUGAGCUCGCGUCCAAUUAGGUAGUUGGUGAGGUAACGGCCCACCAAGCCAACGAUUGGUAGCCGACCUGAGAGGGUGAUCGGCCACAUUGGAACUGAGAAACGGUCCAGACUCCUACGGGAGGCAGCAGUGGGGAAUAUUGGGCAAUGGAGGCAACUCUGACCCAGCAAUGCCGCGUGAGUGAAGAAGGUUUUCGGAUUGUAAAACUCUUUAAGUGGGGACGAAGAAAGUGACUGUACCCACAGAAUAAGCAUCGGUUAACUACGUGCCAGCAGCCGCGGUAAUACGUAGGAUGCAAGCGUUAUCCGGAAUGACUGGGCGUAAAGGGUGCGUAGGCGGUUUAUCAAGUUGGUAGCGUAAUUCCGGGGCUCAACUCCGGAACUACUACCAAAACUGGUAGGCUUGAGUGCGGCAGGGGUAUGUGGAAUUCCUAGUGUAGCGGUGGAAUGCGUGGAUAUAGGAGGAACACCCGGCGGCGAAGGGCGGCUUUACUGGACAGUAACUGACGGUGAGGCUCGAAAGCGUGGGGAGCAAACAGGAUUAGAUACCCUGGUAUUCCACGCCGUAAACGAUGAAUACCAGGUGUUGGCGCCCACAGGGCGUCAGUUGCCGCCGCAAACGCAAUAAGUAUUCCACCUGGGGAGUACGUUCGCAAGAAUGAAACUCAAAGGAAUUGACGGGGAACCGCACAAGCGGUGGAGCAUGUGGUUUAAUUCGAAGCAACGCGAAGAACCUUACCAAAUCUUGACAUCCCGAUGACGGUCCUUUAACAGGGAUUUCCCUUCGGGGCAUCGGAGACAGGUGGUGCAUGGUUGUCGUCAGCUCGUGUCGUGAGAUGUUGGGUCAAGUCCCGCAACGAGCGCAACCCUUGUCCUCAGUAGCCAGCGGUACGGCCGGGCACUCUGGGGAGACCGCCAGGGACAACCUGGAGGAAGAUGGGGAUGACGUCAAAUCAUCAUGCCCCUUAUGAUUUGGGCUACACACGUGCUACAAUGGCGCCUGACAAAGUGAAGCGAACCCGCGAGGGCAGGCAAAUCACAAAAACGGCGUCCCAGUUCGGACUGAAGGCUGCAACCCGCCUUCACGAAGCUGGAAUCGCUAGUAAUCGCGGAUCAGAAUGCCGCGGUGAAUACGU
RNAcentral lists this ribosomal RNA (1268 nucleotides) under uncultured bacterium. RNAcentral describes it as "bacterial SSU rRNA". It matches the Rfam family "Bacterial small subunit ribosomal RNA", at positions 92 to 1371 of the family's 1533-position model. The record is from RNAcentral.